GGGAUAAGCGGAAGAAAUUCCGUCUAAUACCGCGUAAUAACUCCGAGGGGCAUCUCUUGGGGUUUAAAGGGUAACACCGGCUACGGAUGGCCAUGCGGCGCAUUAGCUAGUUGGCGGGGUAACGGCCCACCAAGGCGACGAUGCGUAGGGGUUCUGAGAGGAAGGUCCCCCACACUGGUACUGAGACACGGACCAGACUCCUACGGGAGGCAGCAGUGAGGAAUAUUGGUCAAUGGGCGCGAGCCUGAACCAGCCAAGUCGCGUGAGGGAAGACGGUCCUAUGGAUUGUAAACCUCUUUUGUCGGGGAGCAAAAGACGCCACGCGUGGCGUUCCGAGAGUACCCGAAGAAAAAGCAUCGGCUAACUCCGUGCCAGCAGCCGCGGUAAUACGGAGGAUGCGAGCGUUAUCCGGAUUUAUUGGGUUUAAAGGGUGCGCAGGCGGAAGAUCAAGUCAGCGGUAAAAUUGGGAGGCUCAACCUCUUCGAGCCGUUGAAACUGGUUUUCUUGAGUGAGCGAGAAGUAUGCGGAAUGCGUGGUGUAGCGGUGAAAUGCAUAGAUAUCACGCAGAACUCCGAUUGCGAAGGCAGCAUACCGGCGCUCAACUGACGCUCAUGCACGAAAGUGUGGGUAUCGAACAGGAUUAGAUACCCUGGUAGUCCACACAGUAAACGAUGAAUACUAAUUGUUCGGG
Molecule: ribosomal RNA, 691 nt
Filed under: uncultured bacterium
Lineage: Bacteria
Description: bacterial SSU rRNA
Rfam family: Bacterial small subunit ribosomal RNA
Source: RNAcentral